UUCUGGACGAACCGUACAUAUGGAUGUACCGUACAAAAGCUCUCAAGACCACAUAUAUUAUUUUAAGCUAGUUAACGUCUAAAGAGUGAAAGAGAAAACGGAGUCACACAGCUCCGUCCCUCCAUUUGAGCGCGGCAACCAACAGCGCAUGAAUGAGAUUGAGCCAGGAUGCCACGCAAGUUCAUUCCCAAGAACCUCCGGGAGACAGACCGGACCAACCUCGAACUGGCAUUCAACUACAGGAUUGAGCACAACACCAGCAUACGGAACCUGAGGAAGUCAAUGUAUUUCAAGAGAAAGAUCCUGAGGUGGGGGACUAUUUGCUGGUUGAACUUGAAGUGGAGGAGGGCAAGACGAAGGGCACAAAGGUCAACUAUAUUGCAAAAGUCCUAGGCGUCGAACCCCCCAGUGUUAAUGUCUCCUUCAUGAGAAAAUCUACAAAAAUGCUAAACACUUUUGUCUUCCCAGCCAUAGAAGAUGAGGGUGAGGUGAAGCCUGACCAGGUGAAGGGUGUCCUCUUUCCUCCGGUGCCAGCACCCACUCCUAGGCUCCAGCGUUUCAUCAGGUUUCCCUACUCUCUUCUUUCAUAUAAUAUCAAGUAGGCAUUUUUGUUUGUUUUAAGCCUUGUAAGCUUUUUAAGGCAAAGAAGAUAAUGUAACCAUAUUUUUUCUCAACUUUUUGUGUAAUAAAGGAAGAUUAAAAUUAAA
Eriocheir sinensis (Chinese mitten crab) is the source of this 707-nucleotide long non-coding RNA. RefSeq lists it as uncharacterized. The transcript is spliced from 2 exons. Lineage: Eukaryota; Metazoa; Arthropoda; Malacostraca; Decapoda; Varunidae. The record is from RefSeq and is a predicted model, not a curated record.